RNAcentral lists this ribosomal RNA (461 nucleotides) under uncultured bacterium. RNAcentral's name for it is "bacterial SSU rRNA". It matches the Rfam family "Bacterial small subunit ribosomal RNA", at positions 36 to 518 of the family's 1533-position model. The record is from RNAcentral.
CUGGCGGCGUGCUUCAUACAUGCAAGUCGAACGAGAAUCUGGCUUCGGUCAGAGGAAAGUGGCGGACGGGUGAGUAAUGUGUAGAGAAUCUGCCCUUAGUGGGGGACAACAGUUGGAAACGACUGCUAAUACCCCAUAUGCGCGUAGCUGAGAUGCUAUUCGUGAAAACUCCGGUGCUAAAGGAUGAGUCUGCAUCUGAUUAGCUAGUUGGCGGUGUAAUGGACCACCAAGGCGACGAUCAGUAGCUGGUUUGAGAGGAUGAUCAGCCACAAUGGGACUGAGACACGGCCCAUACUCCUACGGGAGGCAGCAGUAGGGAAUUUUGCGCAAUGGGGGAAACCCUGACGCAAGCAACGCCGCGUGAUUGAAUAAGCCCUUCGGGGUGUAAAGAUCUGUCAGUAGGGACGAAACUUGACGGUACCUACAGAGGAAGCAUCGGCUAACUCCGUGCCAGCCGCUGC